ACAGCCACAUCAAAAUGAAGUACCAGUUCCCAUACAAUCACCAAAGUCAAGCAAUGUUGAGCCUGGUCAGUAUGUAGAUGGGUGACCCUUUGUGAAUACCAGGUGCUGUAAG
This is a non-coding RNA of Acanthosepion pharaonis, 112 nucleotides long. Lineage: Eukaryota; Metazoa; Mollusca; Cephalopoda; Sepiida; Sepiidae. The record is from the annotation of a GenBank genome assembly.